GGAGGACGUGCAGCAUCUGUUCGA
This 24-nucleotide non-coding RNA is filed under the name Arabidopsis thaliana (thale cress). Lineage: Eukaryota; Viridiplantae; Streptophyta; Magnoliopsida; Brassicales; Brassicaceae. The record is from RNAcentral.